Molecule: transfer RNA, 72 nt
Filed under: bacterium
Lineage: Bacteria
Description: tRNA-Met
Rfam family: tRNA
About the family: Transfer RNA (tRNA) molecules are approximately 80 nucleotides in length. Their secondary structure includes four short double-helical elements and three loops (D, anti-codon, and T loops). Further hydrogen bonds mediate the characteristic L-shaped molecular structure. tRNAs have two regions of fundamental functional importance: the anti-codon, which is responsible for specific mRNA codon recognition, and the 3' end, to which the tRNAs corresponding amino acid is attached (by aminoacyl-tRNA synthetases). tRNAs cope with the degeneracy of the genetic code in two manners: having more than one tRNA (with a specific anti-codon) for a particular amino acid; and 'wobble' base-pairing, i.e. permitting non-standard base-pairing at the 3rd anti-codon position.
Source: RNAcentral
GGCGGCGUGGCUCAGUGGUAGAGCAGCGGUCUCAUAAUCCGCGUGUCGGGGGUUCGAUUCCCUCCGCCGCUA